This 460-nucleotide ribosomal RNA is filed under the name uncultured bacterium. Its description in RNAcentral is "partial 16S ribosomal RNA". It matches the Rfam family "Bacterial small subunit ribosomal RNA", at positions 338 to 795 of the family's 1533-position model. The record is from RNAcentral.
CCUACGGGUGGCAGCAGUGAGGAAUAUUGGUCAUUGGACGCUAGCCUGAACCAGCCAAGUAGCGUGAAGGAUGACUGCCCUAUGAGUUGUAAACUUCUUUUAUAUGGGAGUAAAGUGCAGUAUGUAUACUUCUUUGCAUGUACCUUAUGAAUAAGGAUCGGCUAACUCCGUGCCAGCAGCCGCGGUAAUACGGAGGAUCCGAGCGUUAUCCGGCUUUAUUGGGUUUAAAGGGUGCGUAGGCGGGUUGGUAAGUUAGUUGUGAAAGUCUGGGGCUCAACCGUAAAAUUGCAGUUGAUACUGGACGCCUUGAGUACAGUAGAGGUAGGCGGAAUGCGUGGUGUAGCGGUGAAAUGCUUAGAUAUCACGAAGAACUCCGAUUGCGAAGGCAGCCUGCUGGACUGUAACUGACGCUGAUGCUCGAAAGUGUGGGUAGCAAACAGGAUUAGAUACCCCAGUAGUC